AUGUAUACCCUCUGUUGGAACUAUCGGGGACUUGGCAACCCCGCGACAGUUCGAGAGUUGCGCGAUCUCGCGCGAGAAUGUGCGCCGACGAUACUGUGUGUAGUGGAAACGCAAAUCACAAAGUAUCGUGUGGAGGGUUUGGCGAGGACUCUUGGUUUUGAUAAUGCUUAUGGGUUUGGUAGCUCUGGCCGAAGUGGUGGCUUGUGUAUACUUUGGAAGAGCUCGGUUGAUCUUACACUGAGGAAUUAUUCCAAGUACCACAUUGAUAUGGUGGUAAAGUAA
RNAcentral lists this ribosomal RNA (282 nucleotides) under Triticum aestivum (bread wheat). RNAcentral's name for it is "partial small subunit ribosomal RNA". The record is from RNAcentral. Lineage: Eukaryota; Viridiplantae; Streptophyta; Magnoliopsida; Poales; Poaceae.